RNAcentral lists this transfer RNA (73 nucleotides) under Ixodes scapularis (black-legged tick). It matches the Rfam family "tRNA". From Rfam's summary of the family: Transfer RNA (tRNA) molecules are approximately 80 nucleotides in length. Their secondary structure includes four short double-helical elements and three loops (D, anti-codon, and T loops). Further hydrogen bonds mediate the characteristic L-shaped molecular structure. tRNAs have two regions of fundamental functional importance: the anti-codon, which is responsible for specific mRNA codon recognition, and the 3' end, to which the tRNAs corresponding amino acid is attached (by aminoacyl-tRNA synthetases). tRNAs cope with the degeneracy of the genetic code in two manners: having more than one tRNA (with a specific anti-codon) for a particular amino acid; and 'wobble' base-pairing, i.e. permitting non-standard base-pairing at the 3rd anti-codon position. Lineage: Eukaryota; Metazoa; Arthropoda; Arachnida; Ixodida; Ixodidae. The record is from Rfam by way of RNAcentral.
CCCUGGUUAGCUCAGUUUGUAGAGCGCGCCCCUAGAAAUGCAGAGGUCCCGGGUUCGACACCCGGACCAGGCG